Molecule: long non-coding RNA, 795 nt
Organism: Zingiber officinale
Lineage: Eukaryota; Viridiplantae; Streptophyta; Magnoliopsida; Zingiberales; Zingiberaceae
Exons: 3
Source: RefSeq, a predicted model, not a curated record
UAGAAUACCCAAGUGACUCUCGCCCCGUGUUCGCGUGUUCCAGACUCACAGAAACCUAGCGUGGCGAUCCUCCUUGCGGAGAAUCUCCUUGCGGCGAUCCUUCGCGCGGCGAACCUCCUUGCGGCGAUCUUCCCUAUUGCAAAGCCAUCCCCACUCGCGAACUCUUUCCCCCUUCGCGAAGAGCCCUAGCAGCUUCCCCCUCGGAAGGCGUCCCACUCGCGAGCAUUCCCCACUCCUCUUCUUGAAAAAGCCAUGGACAGCGGUCUCUCGUAGGGGAUCUUUUUGGUCUUCUUUUAGCUAUUCUGGAUGGUCGAAUGCUGAAGAUAUGGACCGAUCGAGCUGUUGAGAUCAAGCAGCAUGGCUGGUUCUGGGAGUACAGUCUACUAGGUGUGAUGAUCGAUAAUAUCACUGUGUCCUUAAAUGGCUGUCGGUCGACAGUGGAGACUACAAUCGAGGAAUCUGCUAAGUUGACUGACGAUGCUCACCCCGAGCAUAACGAUUUCUGCAGUACCACCGACACCACCAGGUACGAGAUGGCGUAUACCAAAUCAGGCUGGAAGAUAACCGAAGGAGCUGUUCUUAAAUCAUAGAUAGAUCCGUGCUGGGUUCUUGGUGACUAAUGUAAAUAAUGUCUGCUUUCCUUCCGGGUCAGUUUUUAGUUCUUUGAGCUUGAUCAAUUCCAUUCUCAUGUAUUGCGUUUCUUUCAACCAGUGUAAAGAUUUUGACGAACAUCUGCUGUGCAACGUUCCUGAAGAACUGUCAUAAUUUGACGAGCAUCUGUUCUCCCUCUUCCAA